CCUACGGGUGGCAGCAGUGGGGAAUAUUGCACAAUGGGGGAAACCCUGAUGCAGCGACGCCGCGUGGGGGAAUGAAGGUCUUCGGAUUGUAAACCCCUGUCAUGUGGGAGCAAAUGAAAAAGAUAGUACCACAAGAGGAAGAGACGGCUAACUCUGUGCCAGCAGCCGCGGUAAUACAGAGGUCUCAAGCGUUGUUCGGAAUCACUGGGCGUAAAGCGUGCGUAGGCUGUUUCGUAAGACGUGUGUGAAAGGCGCGGGCUCAACCCGCGGACGGCACAUGAUACUGCGGGGCUAGAGUAAUGGAGGGGGAACCGGAAUUCUCGGUGUAGCAGUGAAAUGCGUAGAUAUCGGGAGGAACACUCGUGGCGAAGGCGGGUUCCUGGACAUUAACUGACGCUGAGGCACGAAGGCCAGGGGAGCGAAAGGGAUUAGAUACCCGGGUAGUC
RNAcentral lists this ribosomal RNA (446 nucleotides) under uncultured bacterium. Its description in RNAcentral is "partial 16S ribosomal RNA". It matches the Rfam family "Bacterial small subunit ribosomal RNA", at positions 338 to 795 of the family's 1533-position model. The record is from RNAcentral.